UCCGUAGGGGGCAAGCGUUGUCCGGAAUCAUUGGGCGUAAAGAGCGUGUAGGCGGCCCGAUAAGUCCGCUGUGAAAGUCCAGGGCUCAACCCUGGGAUGCCGGUCGAUACUGCCGGACUAGAGUUCGGAAGAGGCGAGUGGAAUUCCCGGUGUAGCGGUGAAAUGCGCAGAUAUCGGGAGGAACACCUAUGGCGAAGGCAGCUCGCUGGGACGUUACUGACGCUGAGACGCGAAAGCGUGGGGAGCAAACAGG
RNAcentral lists this ribosomal RNA (253 nucleotides) under uncultured bacterium. RNAcentral describes it as "partial 16S ribosomal RNA". It matches the Rfam family "Bacterial small subunit ribosomal RNA", at positions 524 to 776 of the family's 1533-position model. The record is from RNAcentral.